Molecule: small nucleolar RNA, 128 nt
Organism: Scomber japonicus (chub mackerel)
Lineage: Eukaryota; Metazoa; Chordata; Actinopteri; Scombriformes; Scombridae
Product: small nucleolar RNA SNORA65
Exons: 1
Source: RefSeq, a predicted model, not a curated record
CCCGCCAUUAUACCAGUCUGUUUCAGUGGCUGAGGAAUAGUCCAGUGGAGGCUGAGAUGAACCCUGCUUUAUGGAAACAGGUUUGCCCGACUAGUGGGCAACUCUGUGCCGAAAAGCUAGGAACACAU